This 175-nucleotide ribosomal RNA is filed under the name uncultured bacterium. RNAcentral describes it as "partial 16S ribosomal RNA". It matches the Rfam family "Bacterial small subunit ribosomal RNA", at positions 1326 to 1500 of the family's 1533-position model. The record is from RNAcentral.
UCGGAAUUGCUAGUAAUCGUAGGUCAGCAUACUACGGUGAAUACGUUCCCGGGCCUUGUACACACCGCCCGUCAAACCAUGAGAGUUGGCAACACCCGAAGUCGGUAGUCUAACCGCAAGGAGGACGCCGCCGAAGGUGGGGUUGAUGAUUAGGGUUAAGUCGUAACAAGGUAAC